This 65-nucleotide microRNA precursor is filed under the name Alligator mississippiensis (American alligator). Its description in RNAcentral is "Ami-Mir-146-P2_pre stem-loop". Lineage: Eukaryota; Metazoa; Chordata; Crocodylia; Alligatoridae. The record is from RNAcentral.
UGAGAACUGAAUUCCAUGGACUGGUUCCCUCUUCAUAUCUUCAGUCCAUAGUAGUCAGUUCUCUA